GUUAAUGUAGCUUAUAAUAAGCAAAGCACUGAAAAUGCUUAGAUAGGUAGCUACACCCCAUAAACA
This 66-nucleotide transfer RNA is filed under the name Glis glis (Fat dormouse). Its description in RNAcentral is "transfer RNA-Phe". The record is from RNAcentral. Lineage: Eukaryota; Metazoa; Chordata; Mammalia; Rodentia; Gliridae.